CUUCGGGGCAGGGUGAAAUUCCCGACCGGCGGUGAUAGUCCGCGAACCUUUUUGGUUGACUUGGUGCAAUUCCAAGACCGACAGUACAGUCUGGAUGAUAGAAGU
This 105-nucleotide non-coding RNA is filed under the name marine eukaryotic metagenome. RNAcentral's name for it is "FMN riboswitch (RFN element)". It matches the Rfam family "FMN riboswitch aptamer (RFN element)". From Rfam's summary of the family: The RFN element is a highly conserved domain that is found frequently in the 5'-untranslated regions of prokaryotic mRNAs that encode for flavin mononucleotide (FMN) biosynthesis and transport proteins. This element is a metabolite-dependent riboswitch that directly binds FMN in the absence of proteins. The record is from RNAcentral.